RNAcentral lists this ribosomal RNA (253 nucleotides) under uncultured bacterium. RNAcentral describes it as "partial 16S ribosomal RNA". It matches the Rfam family "Bacterial small subunit ribosomal RNA", at positions 524 to 776 of the family's 1533-position model. The record is from RNAcentral.
UACGUAGGGUGCAAGCGUUGUCCGGAAUUAUUGGGCGUAAAGAGCUCGUAGGCGGCUUGUCACGUCUGCUGUGAAAACUCGGGGCUCAACCCCGAGCCUGCAGUGGAUACGGGCUAGCUAGAGUGCGGUAGGGGAGACUGGAAUUCCUGGUGUAGCGGUGAAGUGCGCAGAUAUCAGGAGGAACACCGGUGGCGAAGGCGGGUCUCUGGGCCGAUACUGACGCUGAGGAGCGAAAGCGUGGGGAGCGAACAGG